Long non-coding RNA from Micropterus dolomieu (smallmouth bass), 2244 nucleotides. RefSeq lists it as uncharacterized. The record is from RefSeq and is a predicted model, not a curated record. The transcript is spliced from 3 exons. Lineage: Eukaryota; Metazoa; Chordata; Actinopteri; Centrarchiformes; Centrarchidae.
CGGAUCUUCUCUGAAGGCGGGAGGAAGAAGAAGAAGAAAAAAGAAAAAGAAAAGGAAAAGAAAAGAAAAGACACGUUGUUGUUGGUGUUCGGGCAAUAGCGCUGCAGGAAUAUUGCACGACAUUUGUCAUCUGGUCCCUGGAAAACAUUCUCUGGCUUUGACAUUGUAAGUAUCAUAAUUGCCUUUUUUAACUUGAAGCCAGAUAAUGUCAUGUCCAGUGUUUUUUUUGUAAUUUGCUUCAUUGUGGAUUAGUGCCUCUUGAGGCAGAAGAAUGCCCAUGACUGUGGAAUCUUCAUGUUGAUGGUAUAUGACCAAUUCAAUUCAUAUUAGAAAUUUACUCUUAGAACAUAUUUUUACAUAUCUAUAAUUUGUAUUGUAUGCAAGACUCAAAAGUAACCAUGAAGUGGUUUUUUCUAUAGUAUGCACUGUAUCUAGUCCUGGUUGCCCCCUUUGAUUUUACCGAGGUAAGUUUCAACUUGCAUGUUAAUAUUCUUACACUGUUGCACAUUUAGAGAAAAAUGGGUUGGGUGUGGGCCAUCGUUUUUAAACUUACAGUGCAUCACUAUUUUUCCAGUAGUAAUUAAAGCCUUCCUUUUGAUAAUUCAUACAAUCAAAUACUGUACAUGUUGAUAGUGUCGUGCAUAAACCAGAUUAAUUACAACAUUAAAAACCUUUCUUUACACCCCCUGUGACGUUUAUUUAGCUAUGACGUUUAGAAUGACAUGCCAGAAGUGCGAAAGUGGUGGUGUGUAAUGUUGCUUGAAAACUCCAACCCCAGAGGGUAACUAACAAACAUAAAUUUCCCUUAAUAUCUGUUACAUGAAGUUGUGUGGAAGCCAUGAUUAGCCAUGUUGUAAAUCAAAUAACAGUAAAGCAAAAUGUUGUCUUCAUCACGUAACUAUUGACUUCAUUUUUCUUUUUAAAAUCAUUGAAGGAAAUAUUCACAUUGGACCUUGCAAGCAACUGCUCUGUUGACCAAAGGUCAAUAUGUACAAGAAGUGGAAGAUACAUUUAUGGUGCACCAGCUGGACAGUGAACUUUGUAUGGAUAAAGUACUAUGUUGCAUGGUUAUUGCAUUGGAAAACCAUUGAAAACUUGUGGGGAUUAAUUGUCAAUUUGAGAGGCUUGAAUUAAGAUGUUUGUGUGAUGUGUGUACUAUAAGCAUGUCCUAUUGGCUUUUUAAAAAGGUGUUUGCCAUAGCUGAACAUUAAAAGAAGUGUUUGAUUUUUUUUGUUAGACCUAAGACAAGUAAAGCCUUGCACUAAACUCAAAAAUCCAAAGAUUUGCAUUACAAACCAUCGAGACAUUUCAGUUUCUUUGUCUGUAGAAGUAACUUCAGCCUCAGCCACCACAACAUAGAGUCUGGACAAUUGGGUAUGCAUAUACAUUUUCUGAACAUUACAAAAAAAGAUGAAUUAUAUUUUGUUUUUGCUUUGGCUGUCCUCUAUACAGUAUAGGGUUAGGGUUGGGAGUUAGUACAGUAUAAUGAUGUCAGUCUAACCAAACAUUUUCAAAAGUAAAUGUUAUUUAAUCAUAACAUAACACUGCAUUCAACACUUGUAAUUACAGUGACAUUGCCACAGAAUGUUAACAAGACAUGCUAAUAAGUCACAUUGCAAGUACCUUGUGCACACUAUUUGUAGAUGAACAUAUUUGUGGUGUUGAUAACCAGACAUUUUUUUUUAUAAAACAGAGGUUGUUAAAACUGUGUCCUUCCUUGUUGAGGGCCUUUACAGCCUUUUUGUCUGACUCACUUUUUAAAAAAUCAUCUACCUCUAUCAGUACAUAAAGAUAGAUGAUGUAGUCUCUAUAAUAUACAUUUUUGCUUGUAGGCAGUUGUCAGGGGGACAGAUACAGCUUUGUGGCAUGAUGCGGAUGGCUUGGCCUGCGUAUGGUUCGAUUAAGCAAUAGCUCACGACAGGCCAUGGUAUACGCUUCACUGUGACCAACACCACCUUAUCAGAGUUGUUGGAUUCCACUCCUCCACGCAGAGCCAUAAAAGACAGGGUGAAAUAUAUUUUGGAUGCCCUGCUACCCGAGGCCACCCUUCAUUCGCUUGCUGCCGUCAACUGUAUUUCCCUGGACAGAGCCAAAAGGUUGUAUCAACAGGGUAGACAGUAUGACAAGAGGUGAGAUCAAGACAUUUAUUUGUAAUGUACACAUUGCUUGUCCUUAGCUAUGUUUCACCCAUUUCAAUUGUAAUGGCCCCCAACUGAUUUUAAUUUAAUAAUUAAAGCUGCAAGC